RNAcentral lists this ribosomal RNA (498 nucleotides) under uncultured bacterium. RNAcentral describes it as "partial 16S ribosomal RNA". It matches the Rfam family "Bacterial small subunit ribosomal RNA", at positions 28 to 507 of the family's 1533-position model. The record is from RNAcentral.
GACGAACGCUGGCGGCGUGCCUAAUACAUGCAAGUCGAACGAGAGCAACCGGUGCUUGCACUGGGCAAUCUAGUGGCGAACGGGUGAGUAACACGUGGGUAACCUGCCCAUCAGAGGGGGAUAACAUCCGGAAACGGAUGCUAAAACCGCAUAGGUCUUCGAACCGCAUGGUUUGAAGAGGAAAAGAGGCGCAAGCUUCUGCUGAUGGAUGGACCCGCGGUGCAUUAGCUAGUUGGUGAGGUAACGGCUCACCAAGGCCGUGAUGCAUAGCCGACCUGAGAGGGUGAUCGGCCACAUUGGGACUGAGACACGGCCCAAACUCCUACGGGAGGCAGCAGUAGGGAAUCUUCCGCAAUGGACGCAAGUCUGACGGAGCAACGCCGCGUGAGUGAAGAAGGUUUUCGGAUCGUAAAACUCUGUUGUUAGAGAAGAACAAGUGCUAGAGUAACUGUUAGCGCCUUGACGGUAUCUAACCAGAAAGCCACGGCUAACUACGUG